AGUCAGCAGAUUGCUCCGGGCAGCAAGGACACUUCGACAGUAUUCUCCAGUCCGUCCCCGGCCUUUUGGUCUUCGGUACGGAACCUUACGAGGAAAUGCAUUGGAAGAAGGGAACAUACUUGUUCGCGUUGGCGGCAAAAUGGGUGACAGCCACAGAGGAGCAAUGACCUGGGUGAGCACAGGCAGGGACCGUGCAGUGGCCCCAAAUCGCGAGGUAGAUGUUUGCCAAGUCACAAAGCGGAGGGCCAGGGUCCUUGUGUCCUCAAGAGCCGGCCCAGUGCCAGGAAGUCCUGGGUGUACCGUUUUCACUAUUUCUAUUCGUGCAGCAGUUGCCUUUUCGAACUGAGAUAGUCGCGUAGAACGAUUUUUAAACCAAGGUAGCAUUUUCCUUCCUCUUUUAAAAGUGCAGUUGCGGGUGAGAAAGCCAUGCUGAUGUGCUUCACGUGGAAGCGCCAUUCCACGCGUGGGAGAAAACGUGAGAGCUGUCAGCGACAGUGGUGACGAGCCUUUGCCAUCAUCCUGGCUCAGAUGGAUGUUUCACACUCCGAUUUGGAACAAGAGACAGAGCCGUGAAACAUGGUCCUGUGCCAGAAAAACACCAGAGAGAGUUCCAGACCCAGGAGGGGACCCGGAGAGAAGGUCAGAAACGCAGGACGGACCGGGCACGUUCGCUGCGCGUUAAUGGGGCUGACAGGACAGAGGGCGCUGCGGGCACCGACCUCCACCAGGCGACCCAGAAGCCCAAGUGCGCGCCUGCGCUCACGCUGCGGACAGAGAUCAGCCUCAGUUGACGACUGGCCGUGUCGUGACACUCGCAUCGUUUCUACCUUCUGUUACAUUAAACGUCAGGAACCGAUCGUGUGUAAUGAGAAACGAGGUGGGAAGCGAGUAGGUGAACCAAGUCUCCCUCCUGCCCGUUACCUCACUCACUGUGGCCGCUGACCCGAGGCAGGACCCACCUGUGUCCUUGAGGUCAGUGAGUACACGCCUGCCUGUGAGCUUCGUACGCAAAGUCAAGAACAAUGACCAGCACAGUUUGAAACCAUGGGAGCUCUUAGAGGUUGUGCCUUGAAUCGGUAGGACAAGUGCUGACCCGCAGUCACCUGCAGAGCAUGCUGGGAAAUUCCACCUUGUAUUCGGUACAAGUCUGGGUGGUUUCCAUAAGUAACUUUACUGUAAGAAAUAAAUGCUUAUGUUCUUAGUAACA
This is a long non-coding RNA of Myotis daubentonii (Daubenton's bat), 1207 nucleotides long. RefSeq lists it as uncharacterized. The record is from RefSeq and is a predicted model, not a curated record. The transcript has 2 exons. NCBI's taxonomy places the organism in Eukaryota, Metazoa, Chordata, Mammalia, Chiroptera, Vespertilionidae.